GGGGGCUAGUGCGCAUGCUGCAGAAUUUUACUCUGUUUCAUGGAAGUGCCUCUGGUGGCUGUCAGUACGACUUGAGGCAUGUUAACACUAUGGAUAUUUUUUGGCAUUUCUCCUGUCCUGCCUUACAAUCGAUAUGUAAGUGAACAGGUUGUUAAUCCAAGGAGAAAUCGGAUUACCAUUAUGGAGUAUAGAAGGAUUUUUGUGGCAUUAUUGGAAAUGGCUACAGUUGGGUGUU
Molecule: non-coding RNA, 235 nt
Organism: Pelobates cultripes (western spadefoot toad)
Lineage: Eukaryota; Metazoa; Chordata; Amphibia; Anura; Pelobatidae
Source: the annotation of a GenBank genome assembly